CCUACGGGAGGCAGCAGUGAGGAAUAUUUGUCAAUGGUCGGGAGACUGAACCAGCCAAGCCGCGUGAGGGAUGAAGGUACAGAGUAUCGUAAACCUCUUUUUUCAGGGAACACAGGCGGGGACGUGUCCCCGGAUGAGUGUACCUGAAGAAAAAGCAUCGGCUAACUCCGUGCCAGCAGCCUGGGUAAUACGGAGGAUGCGAGCGUUAUCCGGAUUUAUUGGGUUUAACGGGUGCGCAGGCGGUCUGUUAAGUCAGCGGUCAAAGCCCGGGGCUCAACCCCGGCCUGCCGUUGAAACUGGCAGUCGCGAGUUGGAGAGAAGUAUGCGGAAUGCGCGGUGUAGCGGUGAAAUGCAUAGAUAUCGCGCAGAACUCCGAUUGCGAAGGCAGCAUGCCGGCUCCACACUGACGCUGAGGCACGAAAGCGUGGGUAUCGAACAGGAUUAGAUACCCCAGUAGUC
This 459-nucleotide ribosomal RNA is filed under the name uncultured bacterium. Its description in RNAcentral is "partial 16S ribosomal RNA". It matches the Rfam family "Bacterial small subunit ribosomal RNA", at positions 338 to 795 of the family's 1533-position model. The record is from RNAcentral.